Molecule: ribosomal RNA, 1543 nt
Filed under: uncultured bacterium
Lineage: Bacteria
Description: bacterial SSU rRNA
Rfam family: Bacterial small subunit ribosomal RNA
Source: RNAcentral
GAUGAACGCUGGCGGCGUGCCUAACACAUGCAAGUCGAACGGAGUUUAUGAAAUUUUCGGAUGGAUUAAGCUUAGUGGCGGACGGGUGAGUAACGCGUGGGUAACCUGCCUCAUACAGGGGGAUAACAGCCGGAAACGGCUGCUAAAACCGCAUAAUAUAUAGAAGCCGCAUGACUUUUAUAUUAAAUAUUCAUAGGUAUGAGAUGGGCCCGCGUCUGAUUAGCUGGUUGGUAGGGUAACGGCCUACCAAGGCGACGAUCAGUAGCCGGCUUGAGAGAGUGACCGGCCACAUUGGGACUGAGACACGGCCCAAACUCCUACGGGAGGCAGCAGUGGGGAAUAUUGCACAAUGGGGGAAACCCUGAUGCAGCGACGCCGCGUGAGUGAAGAAGUAUUUCGGUAUGUAAAGCUCUAUCAGCAGGGAAGAAAAUGACGGUACCUGACUAAGAAGCCCCGGCUAACUACGUGCCAGCAGCCGCGGUAAUACGUAGGGGGCAAGCGUUAUCCGGAUUUACUGGGUGUAAAGGGAGCGUAGGUGGUCGGAUAAGUCAGAUGUGAAAGCCCGGGGCUCAACCCCGGGACUGCAUUUGAAACUAUCCGGCUGGAGUGCAGGAGAGGUAAGUGGAAUUCCUAGUGUAGCGGUGAAAUGCGUAGAUAUUAGGAGGAACACCAGUGGCGAAGGCGGCUUACUGGACUGUAACUGACACUGAGGCUCGAAAGCGUGGGGAGCAAACAGGAUUAGAUACCCUGGUAGUCCACGCUGUAAACGAUGAAUACUAGGUGUCGGGGGUCAAAAGACCUCCGGUGCCGCAGCUAACGCAAUAAGUAUUCCACCUGGRGAGUACGUUCGCAAGAAUGAAACUCAAAGGAAUUGACGGGGACCCGCACAAGCGGUGGAGCAUGUGGUUUAAUUCGAAGCAACGCGAAGAACCUUACCAGGUCUUGACAUCCCCCUGACCGGUCCGUAACGGGACCUUUCCUUCGGGACAGGGGAGACAGGUGGUGCAUGGUUGUCGUCAGCUCGUGUCGUGAGAUGUUGGGUUAAGUCCCGCAACGAGCGCAACCCUUAUCCUUAGUAGCCAGCACGUUAAGGUGGGCACUCUAGGGAGACUGCCAGGGAUAACCUGGAGGAAGGCGGGGAUGACGUCAAAUCAUCAUGCCCCUUAUGAUCUGGGCUACACACGUGCUACAAUGGUGGCUACAAAGAGAAGCAGCCCUGUGAAGGUGAGCAAAUCUCAGAAAAGCCAUCCCAGUUCGGAUUGUAGUCUGCAACCCGACUACAUGAAGCUGGAAUCGCUAGUAAUCGCGAAUCAGAAUGUCGCGGUGAAUACGUUCCCGGGUCUUGUACACACCGCCCGUCACACCAUGGGAGUCGGAUAUGCCCGAAGUCAGUGACCCAACCCAUCUUAGUGAGCAUGACGUCGUGAUAAUUGGAUGAACGAAGUGGAUUCAAUUAUAUUCGUAAUAAGAAUACGAUCACGGAGUCAGUCAUGCUUAGUAAGAUGGGAGGGAGCUGCCGAAGGUGGAGCCGAUGACUGGGGUG